AGCCCGGUAGUGUAGCGGCCAAGCAUAGAGGGCCUUGAACCCUUUGACCACGGUUCGAAUCCGUGCCGGGCUA
RNAcentral lists this transfer RNA (73 nucleotides) under Promethearchaeota archaeon. RNAcentral describes it as "Candidatus Lokiarchaeota archaeon (permafrost metagenome) tRNA-Gln". It matches the Rfam family "tRNA". From Rfam's summary of the family: Transfer RNA (tRNA) molecules are approximately 80 nucleotides in length. Their secondary structure includes four short double-helical elements and three loops (D, anti-codon, and T loops). Lineage: Archaea; Promethearchaeati; Promethearchaeota. The record is from RNAcentral.